This 1227-nucleotide ribosomal RNA is filed under the name uncultured bacterium. RNAcentral's name for it is "bacterial SSU rRNA". It matches the Rfam family "Bacterial small subunit ribosomal RNA", at positions 159 to 1387 of the family's 1533-position model. The record is from RNAcentral.
GUAGCUAAAACCGGAUAGGUAUGAGGGAGUCAUCUUCCUCAUAUUAAAGCACCUUCGGGUGUGAACAUGGAUGGACUUGCGGCGCAUUUAGCUGGUUGGUGAGGUAACGGCCCACCAAGGCGAUGAUGCGUAGCCGACCUGAGAGGGUGAACGGCCACAUUGGGACUGAGACACGGCCCAAACUCCUACGGGAGGCAGCAGUAGGGAAUUUUCGUCAAUGGGGGGAACCCUGAACGAGCAAUGCCGCGUGUGUGAAGAAGGUCUUCGGAACGUAAAGCACUGUUGUAAGUGAAGAAUGCCACAUAGAGGAAAUGCUAUGUGGGUGACGGUAGCUUACCAGAAAGCCACGGCUAACUACGUGCCAGCAGCCGCGGUAAUACGUAGGUGGCAAGCGUUAUCCGGAAUCAUUGGGCGUAAAGGGUGCGUAGGUGGCACGAUAAGUCUGAAGUAAAAGGCAACAGCUCAACUGUUGUAUGCUUUGGAAACUGUCGAGCUAGAGUGCAGAAGAGGGCGAUGGAAUUCCAUGUGUAGCGGUAAAAUGCGUAGAUAUAUGGAGGAACACCAGUGGCGAAGGCGGUCGCCUGGUCUGUAACUGACACUGAUGCACGAAAGCGUGGGGAGCAAAUAGGAUUAGAUACCCUAGUAGUCCACGCCGUAAACGAUGAGAACUAAGUGUUGGAGAGAUUCAGUGCUGCAGUUAACGCAAUAAGUUCUCCGCCUGGGGAGUAUGCACGCAAGUGUGAAACUCAAAGGAAUUGACGGGGGCCCGCACAAGCGGUGGAGUAUGUGGUUUAAUUCGAAGCAACGCGAAGAACCUUACCAGGCCUUGACAUGGAUAUAAAUGUUCUAGAGAUAGAAAGAUAGCUAUAUAUCACACAGGUGGUGCAUGGUUGUCGUCAGCUCGUGUCGUGAGAUGUUGGGUUAAGUCCCGCAACGAGCGCAACCCUUGUCUUCUGUUACCAGCAUUAGGUUGGGGACUCAGGAGAGACUGCCGGUGACAAACCGGAGGAAGGUGGGGAUGACGUCAAAUCAUCAUGCCCCUUAUGGCCUGGGCUACACACGUACUACAAUGGCGCCUACAAAGAGCAGCGACACCGCGAGGUGGAGCGAAUCUCAUAAAGGGCGUCUCAGUUCGGAUUGAAGUCUGCAACUCGACUUCAUGAAGUCGGAAUCGCUAGUAAUCGCAGAUCAGCAUGCUGCGGUGAAUACGUUCUCGGGCCUUGCACA